Long non-coding RNA from Homalodisca vitripennis (glassy-winged sharpshooter), 303 nucleotides. RefSeq lists it as uncharacterized. The transcript is spliced from 2 exons. Lineage: Eukaryota; Metazoa; Arthropoda; Insecta; Hemiptera; Cicadellidae. The record is from RefSeq and is a predicted model, not a curated record.
UUGACAAUUUGCUCUUAAUAUUAAACUUUAAACAUUGCUAUAACUAUAAGAACACUUUGAAUUCUUUAUUUAAACAAACCAACGUUGGUUUUUUAGGAAGCAUGGAAACAGUGUCGAGUGCGAUGGCAGAUUCCGCGGAGCACCGUGGACCUGACUCCGGCCUACGUCGUCCUCUAUGUAUCUGCAUUAUCGCUGUCUAUUCACCGUUACUACUAGCUGGCAGCUUUAUUUGUUUGUAUACAGUUAUGUAUUGAUUUUUGUAACUUUAUUGUACAUAUACCAAAUAUAAUAUUAUUCUUAUGA